AGCGAGCGCAGAGAUGGCUUUAGGGAUGGAGAUGCUGCUUGAGGAGCCCGCAGAUAAGUUUUUCUAUUAAAAAAGAUAGGCGUUAGUGUAUUUCUUUAGGGAUUAUAAGUAGUGAAAAUACGGAGAUACUGCUUUGCAUUAAGUUCUUAGAUAAAUUUUAGGGAAAAUAUGAAGACUUAAAGAGUAGUUGGAGAAAGGAAGAGGGAAGAAAAAAGAUAAUUUUAGAACCUGAGGGAGGUUAAGAGCUGAAAUUUUUUCAUGGAGUGAAAAAUUUAAAAGAAUUGAUGAGCUAGGACUGCAAUGUCUGGAUUUUUUUUUUAAAGCCUUAACUUGAAGGGCAACCUUUUACCUUAACAUUAAAACGUUGGGUUACGUAAAUCGAACCUAAACGUUUUAAAAGGUUGAGUUGUAGGUGAUUAAAAUACUACAAAGGCCAUCUUAAGAUUUAACUGAAGGUGGUUUCAGAAAUAAUGCCUUCAGAUUCACGGCGCAGUAAAAAUGGCGUCAUUUGAAGCCUGCUUGAUACUAAGGCUUUGUUUGGCUAAAGUUGACGGAAAUAUUAGGAAUGGUAGGAAAGAAAAUUGGAAGUUUGAAGUGGAAAAUUCGGAAGACAGAAGUACAGGAAGGUGAAGAAAAAACUAGAGAAGAUAAGAGAUACACGUUUUAGAAGAUAAAACCUGAGCCUAGUAAGUAGGCAGAAAAAGACAAAUCUAGGAGAAAAUUGAAAAUACGGUCGAGUGCUUAAGAUAGAAUGAAAAGAAAGCUAUUGGACGCAAACAUACAAGAUAGACGUCCAAAAAUUUAGAUAGUUCAAAAUCAAUAAUGUUGGAUAAAUUACAGGAACAAAAACUAAGGAAAUUUUUAUAGCCAAUAAGAAUUUAUUGUAAAAGCCCAUCAACUUAUUUCUGGUGGUGCAAAAGUUAGAUCUCAGAAGAUGAGGGUUUUUUUUUUUUAAAACUACUGUAGACCAGGACCAACUUAGAAGAAAAUCCGGAAACUAGGAGAGUCAAUUUAAAAUCUCAGCAAAAAGUUACUGAAGGGGACUGAAGUAACUUAAAAGUUAAGAAUGUAUUUGGGAGAGUUAAAAAUCUGAAAGGCCUUAAAUGCGGUAGCGUAGUUUCCUUUGGAAAAUGUAAAGGACUUUAUAAGUGAAUUAAAUUGAAGAGCAAGAAUAACCAUCGAGUUAUUGGACUUUGAGCUAAGAUGAAUGUUUAAAUCCUGAGGACUAGGCGCUAAAUAACAGCUGACGCAGGUGCUACGCAGAAGUGGAUUCAGUGAAGCUAGGAAGACAGGAGCGGCAGACAGGAUUCGGAGCCAGUGUUGGUGAAAACUAGGACUGAGGAGCCAGCGGCAGUUCGUGAAGAUAGGAAAGAGAAGCCCGGGAGCCAGUGCGACUUGGUGAAGGAAGCUAGGAAGAAGGAGCGAGUCCUAACGAUUUGGAGGUGAAGCUAGGAGAGGAUUCCAGGAAGGAGGAAGCCAGUGCGGUGUGGUGAAGCUAGCGUGCGGCUUGGCUUGGCAACCACGCGGAGGCGGCGAGCAGGCGGAGUGGAGGAUAGAUAGAGGAUCCUAGAGCAGCAGACCAGUGUACGAGCCCCGCAGGGAGAGCCAGUGGUGUGGUAAAAAUCCGUGAAGUCGGCACUAUCGUGGGUUUUUUUUCCUCCUGUAACUCAGUAUGGUAAUAUCUCUUAUUAAAUUUUCCUAAUAGUAAUGGGGGAGUUGUGUACUUAAGCAUAAAGGGGAUUUUAUUACGGGGAUGUAGGCCGGUUUUCGGGUGUCGUAGGUUUCUCUUUUUCAGGCCUAUUUUCUCAUGCAUCUUGUCUGGAGCUUUUGAGGGCAGACUUCAAGGCCCGGAGGAAUGGUAGAUGGCAAGUGUUCUUGUUUUUAACCAAUAUGAGGGAUGUCCUGAAUUUGGUAGAACAACUGUGAGACAACUUCAGCAAGCUUUGUAAACAGGUUUUAUAUUCAGUUUGGGGGUAAUGAAGCAUUUCAGUUUCGUGAGUAGAGGGCCUACUUUUCUUUCCUCACCCUGUAUUUUAAAAGUCUUCUAAAUAUGUAGUUUCGGUGUAUAAUUCUGGGCGGGGGGAGUUUUUUUGGGGGGGGAGCAAAAUAUGUUUUGAGUUCUUUUCCCUUUAGGUCUGUCUAGAAUUCCAAAGGCAAAUGACUCGAGGUAACAGGCGAAAAGAAAAUCCAAUAUCAGGAUAAUCAGAACACUGCAGGUUUACAGUUAUAGAAACUCUAGCACAAGCAGCUUUCACUUUGAGGUCUGUGGCGCAGCUGUCCAUUGGAGUAAUGGCUGGUAGUUUAUUCUUUUUUUCCCCACCCCUUUAUUAAAUAUUUUUAUAAAGUACGUAACUGGUUAUUUUUACUUAAAUAUUUUGGGGUGGUGUGAACAGGGAAGAGGGUGGGGGAGAAACUUUUUUUUUCUAAGAUUUUCCACAGAUUCUAUAGUACUAUUGACAAUCUGAGUUAGAGAAGGAUUGUACUGCUACGCUGUUUGGCACCAACACCUUCAGGGAUUGGAGCAGCUUUUUUCCUUGGAAGAGUAUUCCCAGUGAAGCUGAAAUGUACAGCCCAGUGCAGCUUUGGUUCAUAUUCAGUCAUCUCAGGAGAACUUCAGAAGAGCUUGACUAGGCCAAAUGUUGAAGUUAAGUUUUCAAAUAACGACUUUUAAGAUACCUUUAUUAAAGGGGAGGGGCAAAUUUUGGCGAUUUGUAGUUGGCAGUGGCUUGUAAUGAUUGGGAUGGGGGGGGCGUGGGUUUAGGUAAUUGUUUAGUUUUUGAUUACAGAUAAACUCAUGCCAGAGAACUUAAAUACUUAAGGUGGAAAAACUAAAGAAAUCUCAACUUCCAAGUUGGCAAGUAACUCGAAAUCCUCUGGUUCUGUUUUGCCCCAAUUUUUGAAUUUAACAGAUGGGGAAGUUGAUGACGAUUCACUGGAUUUAAAAGAGUAGGGCUUGGGAAAGGAAAAUGACUGGGGGUUGGUCUGGCCCUCUGCGCUGACUUAGAUAAAAACUUGGGGAAUUUUUUUUUAAAUGGUAAAGUUCGGAUAUAGUGUGUGGUUCUCUCUUGGAAUAUUUUUCAGGUGAUUUAAUAAAACUUAAUACUACUAUAGGAGCUUCAGAGCAAAGGAGGUGGCUUAAUGAUCCUGAAGGGAUUUCUUCUGGUGGUAGCUUUUGUAUUAUCAAACUUUUUUCAGAUAACAUCUUCUGAGUCAUAACCAGCCUGGCAAUCUGAUGGCCUAGAUGGAGAGGGGAACAGCUCCUUGGUGAAUGAUAAGUAAAGGCAGAAAAGAUUGUAUUUCAUACCUACAUUGGGGAAAAAAGCAUAACCCUGAGAUUUUCUUCUGAUGAACACAUUGUCUGCACAUGCAAAAAAAAAAGCAAAUGAAAACUACCAAUUUAAAGUUAAUGGAAUCUACUACUAUAAAGUUAAUGGCUUAUCAAGCUGUAUCCACAAAAAUAAUGAAUUGAUGAAAAAUAAAAAUAACGAUACAAUGAAGAUCAAAAUGUCAAUCUCAAUACUGCUUUUACAAAAGCAGAAUUAAAAAAGCGAAAUGAAAAUAGCGCUACAUAUUAAUCCUGGAAAAAAAAGAAGCUGAAAUAAUUGAAAUGAGUGGGAUCAAGUGAAUUGAGAGGAGGAAGAGGCUGUGCUGUUUGCCAAUCUUUCGUUUGCCUCAGACAGGUUUUUCUUCAUUAUCAGAAGAGUUGCUUCAUUUCAUCUGGGAGCAGAAAACAGCAGGCAGCUGUUAACAGAUAAGUUUAACUUGCAUCUGCAGUAUUGCAUGUUAGGAAUAAGUGCUUACCUUUGUGAAGAGCUGUGGAAGUCCUAGGUCCCUUACCUAAGGGAUUCCAGGAUUGUGAGGCAUCGUCCCAUCCAGCCUUUUAAAAUUAGACAGGACAGCGUUCCUGUGGGCUUUGAUGAUGGGACAGCACAUUUCAUUCAAGAGGCAAGUAAUUCCUUAAAGCCUCUUGAGAUUAGCAAAGAUAAUGUUUAUAAAACUAAGAACAUUUGUUUAGCCUUGAAUCUGACAGCCCUAUUUAAGGGAUAGUAUUGUACUGUUAAGAAUUCAGAUUUUGUUAAUCUUGCUAAAAUUCAAAUGUUACGUGUAUUGUGCAGAAAACCAUUAAAUCAUUCAAAAUAAAAUACUUUUAUUUUUAGAGAAUGUAUGCUUUUAGGAAGCUGUCUCCUUAUUUAAAUAAAACAUUGUUUGUCUGUAGUUAGUGUUGGGGCAAUCUGGGGGGGGUUUCUUCUCAUCUUUCAGAAACUUUGUCUGCGAACACUCUUUAAUGGACAAGAUCAGGAAAUUGAGCAGAAGAACGAAUUUAAUUUAAGAGGCUUCAUUUCAUCCUUCGUGAAGCUUUUCAGGAUUUUGGCUUUCAUGUAAACGCUUGGCUCUGCCUUCUGUUCUCCUAGGGAGUGUUUCAGACCUUGCAGUGAGUUUAUCGGCAUAUUUAAGUAUAAACAUUUUUCCCCUUGAAUUUGGAGGGAAGGGAGGAGAGGGUGGGGCUUACUUGUUUUAGCUUUUUUUUUUACAGACUACACAGAAUGCAGUUGUCUUGACCUCAGGUCUGUGUGUUCUCUUGGCAAGUAAUACAGUACUGUUCUGAUCCGCUGCUAUUAGAAUGCAUUUUGAAACGACUGGAGUAUGAGUCAAAGUUGUGUUUCCCCCAAUGCUUGGAGUGGAGUAGUGAUUGUUAAAAGAAAAUCCAGCUGAGUGAUAAAAGGCUGAGUGUUGAGGAAAUUUCUGCAGCUUUUUAAGCAUUCAUGUUUGUGAUUGGAGCGGAGUCCCUUUUGCUGUGCUUUUUUUUAGGUAAAAUGCUUUUUGUUCACUUCUGGUAAGGGGGUGGGGAGGGCACUGAAGCCUUUAGUCUUUUCCAGAUGCAACUUUAAAAUCAGUGACAAGAAAUAAUUCCAAACGAGCAGCACUCUUGAAGAAAUUUAACUGGCAAGUGGAAAUGUUUACCAACAGUUCAGUGGUCUUAGUGCAUUUGUUUUUGUUUGGGUGUCUCUCUCUCCUCCCCUGGUCUUAAUUUCAUAUACAGGAACAUUCAAAACAACAGACAGACGUAUGCGAAAGGCCAGAGAAGCCAGACCCAGUAAGGAAAAAUAGCUUACUUACUUUUAAAAUAAUAAACCAAAAAACACUGCAUUUUAAAUGUGGGGAUUGGGAACCACUAGUUCUUUCAGAUGGUAUUCUUCAGACUAUAGAAGGAGCUUCCAGUUGAAUUCACCAGUGGACAAAAUGAGGACAACAGGUGAACAAGUUUUUUCUAUGUCUACAUACCAAGUCAGAUCUGUAUGAGUAAACAACAAUUCAGUGUUAAAUGACCUUUCAGCUUUACGCUGGAGUCAACAGCAUGAGCAAGUUGUUUGUUGGCCUGGGGGUGGAGGGGUGAGGUGGGCGCUAAGCCUUUUUUUUAAGAUUUUUCAGGUACCCCUCACUAAAGGCACCAAAGGCUUAAAGUAGGACAACCAUGGAGUCUUCCUGUGGCAAGAGAGACAACAAAGCGCUAUUAACUAAGGUCAAUCAAAAUGGUGUCGGCCUCACAGCCCCAUCUUCUGUUAGAAAUGAGGACUUGACUCAACCCCCUUGACAAUGUGCAUUGAGGCUCUUUGGGGGAGCGAGCAUUUAAAGGAAUGCUUGAGUACCUUGUAUAUAUAUCCCUGUGCUUGUCCUAAUAUUUAAUUUGGCUGUUUUCAUAGCAGCUGUUAAUGAAGCCUGAACUUCAAGUGAUGCUUGAAGGGGAGGGAAAGGGGGAAAGCGGGCAACCACUUUUCCCUAGCUUUUCCAGAAGCCUGUUAAAAAGCAAGGUCUCCCCACAAGUGACUUCUCUGCCACAUCGCCACCCUGUGCCUUUGGCCUAGCGCAGACCCUUCACCCCUCACCUCGAUGCUGCUGGUAGCUUGGAUCCUUGUGGGCAUGAUCCAUAAUCGCUUUUAAGGUAAUUGCCAAGGUCUUCCGGUGGGUUGCACUACUAGAAAAGACCAUUAAUUUACCUGUCAACAGGUAAUAUUUAGACCACAACUAAAAAGCUCUUAAAGUGUUGUAAAUGUGUGGCAUUAUCCAAUGACUUUAAAAAAACAUUUCAAACCAGUAAGUGGAGAAAUAGCAUCUAAGAACUGUCAUAUUGGGUGGGAGAGUACAUUUAUGAACUGAAAAGUGUUUUGGCAGUUGAGAGGGCUGUUGGGUGGGAUUGCAAAAAUUCUCUGCUAAGACUUUUUCAGGUGAACAUAACAGACUUGACCAAGCUAGCACCUUAGCUGAAGCAGAUUCUCCAGUGCUCUUCAAUAGGGUUAUUGAUAAAGGUUUUUCUUUUCCUGAGAAAACAAAAUCUUUUUUGUUUUCUCAGGUUUUGCUUUUUUGCCUUUUCUUAUCUUAAAAAAAAAAGCAAAAGAUGCUGGUGGUUGGCACUCCUGGUUUCCAGGACGGGGUUCAAAUCCCUGUGGCGUCUUUGCUUGACUUUUACUCUCCAGACUCUACUUCCUGUCUCUCAGGUGCUAGGCCUUAGAAUUAGGGGAGGUGGAAGAUAAUAGUGUGAAACUCUGCAUUUGUGUUUACAUGACAACGUAAUGUAACUACCAUGCAUCUAAUUUGCAGAUAUUCCUCAUGCAACUAGUGAUUGGAGAAGCCUGUUUUGAAAAAUUGAUUACACAUAUCAAUAAAAAUUGAAAAAACUUCACUGGUGUGAUUCAUUUAUGUAUAUACCAAACUUCU
Molecule: long non-coding RNA, 6714 nt
Filed under: Bos taurus (domestic cattle)
Lineage: Eukaryota; Metazoa; Chordata; Mammalia; Artiodactyla; Bovidae
Source: RNAcentral